CUCGGCUCGGCACACCGCUGCCGGCCAUCGCCGCAGCCGGAGAUGGAGGACAUCGAGGACGUGCUGGGCCCGGUCGGCCUCUCUGUCGGCGGAGCGCCUCCGGUGCUCCGCCUCCUGCUAGCCUCCGUCGCGGCAAGCUCAAGCGCCGGUCGUCCAGGGCUGCGCAUGCGCGGCCUCAGCUCGAGGCCCGGAUCCCCGGCACGCAGACGAUUCACGUCAAGACUAUCGGGUGCUCACAUAACCAGAGUGACAGUGAAUACAUGUCAGUGGAUCGUGUGAAAACUGUUGUCGGCUUGUCGCUGAAGGUGUCCGGGAGAUUUGGUUGAGUAGCCAGUAGCGAAGAUACCGGUGCUUAUGGACAGGAUAUCGGUACAAUCUUCCAAAUUUGUUAAACACGAUUGUUGCGGAGCAUCCUGUUGACCGAAGCACAUUGCUCCGCAUAGGCAUGACAAAUCCACCUUUCAUACUAGAGCAUCUGAAGGAGAUAUCUGCCGUUUUGCGUCACCCCUGGGUUUAUUCGUUCCUCCAUGUUCCUCUGCAAUCUGGAAGUGAUGCUGUUUUAACGGCGAUGAGUGGUGAAUACACUGUUGGCAAGUUCAGAAAGGUAGUUGAUGCUUUGUGUGAGCUUGUCCCUGGAAUGCAAAUUGCUACAGAUAUUAUCUGCGGCUUUCCUGGUUAGCUAAACAAGUUCACGGCUUAGCAUUUCAUUCUUAGUUAUCAUUUAUGAGUACAUCUGAACGACAUUUUAUUAACUGAAUGCCCCAAAAGACGUUGCUGCUAAUAGUUUGCACUAAACUGACAUCCCAUUUUGAGGUGAGACUGAUGAGGAUUUCUCUGAGACUGUUAACCUCGUAAAGCAAUAUCAACUCCCUCAAUACACAACGUUCCGUAAAUCUACAAGUUUUGGUUGUUGACAUUCUUUUCCUACAUGUACAUCGACAACGUGGUUUUUCUAGGGACGCCCUGCUGCUAGGAUGAAGAAGGUAUCGAGCAAUGAAGUGAAAAAAGCGGAGUCGUGAACUGACUUCAGUUUUCGAAUCAUUGUCACCGUACCAAGGAAUGGUAGGCAAAGUAGAGAGGAUCUGGAUCACUGAGAUCGCGACCGGUGGUGUUCGCUUGGUUGGGCAUACCAAGGGAUACAUCCAGGUGCUGGUAAUUGCCCCUGAUAGCAUGUUAGGAGCGUCAGCAAAUGUGAAGGUUACAUCUGUUCGGCGACGUCUUUGGUGAAGUGGUGGAAGAAGGAUCUGUUGCGGCAGGAGAAGCACCGAAGCGAACUAGCGCGACUUGUAGUGGUGGUUCUUGAGCGAGCGUGUCGAUGGUCGAUUUUGGCGGUUUGUUUUGUUUACUCGGUCUGUUCUGUAUGGCGUUGCAAAAUUGUGCUACUGUACAAAUACAUGGUUGCGAACAGGUUAACGCGGAGUCUUCUGAUGCUGCG
Molecule: RNA transcript, 1435 nt
Organism: Zea mays
Lineage: Eukaryota; Viridiplantae; Streptophyta; Magnoliopsida; Poales; Poaceae
Gene name: methylthiotransferase pseudogene
Exons: 7
Source: RefSeq, marked validated